RNAcentral lists this transfer RNA (61 nucleotides) under Gasteruption tournieri. Its description in RNAcentral is "tRNA-Ser". Lineage: Eukaryota; Metazoa; Arthropoda; Insecta; Hymenoptera; Gasteruptiidae. The record is from RNAcentral.
GAAAUAAGUAAAAUAAAGAUUUCUAAUCUUUAAUUUAAUAAUUGAGUUUAUUAUUAUUUCU